Long non-coding RNA from Lagenorhynchus albirostris (white-beaked dolphin), 750 nucleotides. RefSeq lists it as uncharacterized. The record is from RefSeq and is a predicted model, not a curated record. Lineage: Eukaryota; Metazoa; Chordata; Mammalia; Artiodactyla; Delphinidae. The transcript has 3 exons.
GUCAGACUGAAGUCAUGGUGUGUUCUUAACUACAGUGGAAGACUCUGAAGGAUUCCACAAAGCCUGUUGAAGCACUUUCCUCCUGACUUGAGGAGAAGGCGGAAGCACCCUUCUUGCCUAAAAAAAAGGAGACAUAUCCAUAUGUGGACAGAUGAAAGGCAUAGUUAUGGCUUGUAUCACUUGGAAAGCCUUUAUAUAUGACGAGAUAUUAUUGGGACUAUGAGGUAGGAGCCUUGGCUUCUAUCUGAUCCUGACACUAACUGGCAGAUGAAGCUGGUGCCUGAGUUCGAAUGUCACGUGGAGAGCUGCUUGGCCUCCCCACAGAGGGACCUGUCCUCAACGUCUCUGCCUGAAGUCAGCUUUCUGGGAAGGAUCAUGGACCAUUCUUACAAGACAGACUUCUCCAGUUUUGAACCAGAGUCCCUCUUUGCAAUAGUACUGUUACAUCAUGACUUAAACUACCUCUUUCUGCUUAGGCACAUCCAGAGUUUAUAUUUCCAUAGAAUAAUUUUUGAGGCCAAAUUACCUGAAUUCAGAAAACCUCUGAAUAAUGAAAUAGCUAUAAUUUCUAUGCCAGACACUGUGCUGGCUUCUCUGUGUAUCAUCUCAUGUACUCCUCACAACUGUAUGAAGGAGGUACUUCUGUCAUCUGUUUGCUGGAUGACACGAUUGAUUCUCAGAGCCCUUAGGAAAUGGACUUGAUGUCACAUGCUCAUAGUAGGUCUGGCUCUGUCAUCUCUGCUUUUAUCC